Molecule: ribosomal RNA, 253 nt
Filed under: uncultured bacterium
Lineage: Bacteria
Description: partial 16S ribosomal RNA
Rfam family: Bacterial small subunit ribosomal RNA
Source: RNAcentral
UACGAAGGGGGCUAGCGUUGUUCGGAUUUACUGGGCGUAAAGCGCACGUAGGCGGAUCGUUAAGACGGGGGUGAAAUCCUGGAGCUCAACUCCAGAACUGCCUUCGAUACUGGCGAUCUUGAGUCCGGAAGAGGUGAGUGGAACUCCUAGUGUAGAGGUGGAAUUCGUAGAUAUUAGGAAGAACACCAGUGGCGAAGGCGGCUCACUGGUCCGGUACUGACGCUGAGGUGCGAAAGCGUGGGGAGCAAACAGG